GACGAACGCUGGCGGCGUGCUUAACACAUGCAAGUCGAACGGAAAGGCCCUGCUUUUGUGGGGUGCUCGAGUGGCGAACGGGUGAGUAACACGUGAGUAACCUGCCCUUGACUUUGGGAUAACUUCAGGAAACUGGGGCUAAUACCGGAUAUGAGCUCCUGCUGCAUGGUGGGGGUUGUAAAGUUUCGGCGGUUGGGGAUGGACUCGCGGCUUAUCAGCUUGUUGGUGGGGUAGUGGCUUACCAAGGCUUUGACGGGUAGCCGGCCUGAGAGGGUGACCGGCCACAUUGGGACUGAGAAACGGGCCAGACUCCUACGGGAGGCAGCAGUGGGGAAUAGUGCAAAAAGGGCGGAAGCCUGAAGCAGCAACGCCGCGUGCGGGAUGACGGCCUUCGGGUUGUAACCCGCUUUCGCCUGUGACGAAGCGUGAGUGACGGUAAUGGGUAAAGAAGCACCGGCUAACUACGUG
RNAcentral lists this ribosomal RNA (468 nucleotides) under uncultured bacterium. RNAcentral describes it as "partial 16S ribosomal RNA". It matches the Rfam family "Bacterial small subunit ribosomal RNA", at positions 28 to 507 of the family's 1533-position model. The record is from RNAcentral.